RNAcentral lists this ribosomal RNA (496 nucleotides) under uncultured bacterium. RNAcentral's name for it is "partial 16S ribosomal RNA". It matches the Rfam family "Bacterial small subunit ribosomal RNA", at positions 30 to 523 of the family's 1533-position model. The record is from RNAcentral.
AUUGAACGCUGGCGGAAUGCUUUACACAUGCAAGUCGAACGGUAGAGGGGGCAACCCCUCGAGAGUGGCGAACGGGUGAGUAAUAUAUCGGAACGUGCCCAGUCGUGGGGGAUAACGUAGCGAAAGUUACGCUAAUACCGCAUACGAUCUAAGGAUGAAAGCGGGGGAUCGCAAGACCUCGCGCGAUUGGAGCGGCCGAUAUCAGAUUAGGUAGUUGGUGGGGUAAAGGCUCACCAAGCCAACGAUCUGUAGCUGGUCUGAGAGGACGACCAGCCACACUGGAACUGAGACACGGUCCAAACUCCUACGGGAGGCAGCAGUGGGGAAUUUUGGACAAUGGACGCAAGUCUGAUCCAGCCAUUCCGCGUGCAGGAUGAAGGCCCUCGGGUUGUAAACUGCUUUUGUACGGAACGAAAAGGUCUCUCUUAAUACGGGGGGCUCAUGACGGUGCCGUAAGAAUAAGCACCGGCUAACUACGUGCCAGCAGCCGCAGUAA